GGCCUAACACAUGCAAGUCGGACGGUAACAGGAGAGAAGCUUGCUUUUCUUGCUGACGAGUGGCGGACGGGUGAGUAACGCGUGGGAAUCUACCCUUUAGUUGGGGACAACAUAUGGAAACGUAUGCUAAUACCGAAUGUGCUCUACGGAGUAAAGGUGCCCUCUCCUUGGAAGGUAUCGCUAAAGGAUGAGCCCGCGUUAGAUUAGCUAGUUGGUAGGGUAAAGGCCUACCAAGGCGACGAUCUAUAGCUGGUUUGAGAGGAUGAUCAGCCACACUGGGACUGAGACACGGCCCAGACUCCUACGGGAGGCAGCAGUGGGGAAUAUUGCACAAUGAGGGAAACCUUGAUGCAGCCAUGCCGCGUGUGUGAAGAAGGCCCGAGGGUUGUAAAGCACUUUCAAUUGUGAGGAAGAUUAAGUAGCUAAUACCUGCUUAGUUUGACGUUAACUUUAGAAGAAGCACCGGCUAACUCUGUGCCAGCAGCCGCGGUAAUACAGAGGGUGCAAGCGUUAUUCGGAAUUACUGGGCGUAAAGCGCGCGUAGGCGGACUGUUAAGUCGGUUGUGAAAGCCCUGGGCUCAACCUAGGAACUGCAUCCGAUACUGGCAAUCUAGAGUUUAAGAGAGGGAAGUGGAAUUCCAGGUGUAGCAGUGAAAUGCGUAGAUAUCUGGAGGAACAUCAGUGGCGAAGGCGACUUCCUGGCUUAAAACUGACGCUGAGGUGCGAAAGCUUGGGUAGCGAACGGGAUUAGAUACCCCGGUAGUCCAAGCCGUAAACGAUGUCAACUAGCUGUUGGUCUUAUUAAAAAGAUUAGUAGCGAAGCUAACGCGAUAAGUUGACCGCCUGGGGAGUACGGUCGC
Molecule: ribosomal RNA, 860 nt
Filed under: uncultured bacterium
Lineage: Bacteria
Description: bacterial SSU rRNA
Rfam family: Bacterial small subunit ribosomal RNA
Source: RNAcentral